GAUGAACGCUAGCGGCAGGCCUAAUACAUGCAAGUCAAGGGGAUAGCAAUAUCACCGGCGGACGGGUGCGUAACGCGUACACAACGUGCCCAAGGGCGGAGGAAAGCGGCGGGAAACUGCCGGUAAUACUCCAUGGUGUUGUUGAGUGGCAUCACUUAACAACUAAAGUACAAGCGCCCUUGGAUCGGUGUGCGUUCGAUUAGCUAGUUGGCGGGGUAACGGCCCACCAAGGCUUCGAUCGAUAGGGGGUGUGAGAGCAUGACCCCCCCANACGGGUACUGAGACACGGACCCGACUCCUACGGGAGGCAGCAGUAAGGAAUAUUGGACAAUGGGCGGAAGCCUGAUCCAGCCAUGCCGCGUGAAGGACGAAGGCGCUCAGCGUUGUAAACUUCUUUUGGAUGGGAACAAUAACUCCGACUUGUCGGAACUUGAGGGUACCAUCAGAAUAAGCACCGGCUAACUCCGUGCCAGCAGCCGCGGUAAUGUAUCGU
This 493-nucleotide ribosomal RNA is filed under the name uncultured bacterium. RNAcentral's name for it is "bacterial SSU rRNA". It matches the Rfam family "Bacterial small subunit ribosomal RNA", at positions 28 to 528 of the family's 1533-position model. The record is from RNAcentral.